GGUUUGUAGUGUUGUAUGGAUGCCUGUUGGGUCUGAUUGGUUUGUAGUGUUGUAUGGAAGCCCGUUGGGUCUGAUUGGUUUGUAGUGUUGUGUGGAUGCCUGUUGGGUCUGAUUGGUUUGUAGUGUUGUAUAGAUGCCUGUUGGGUAUGAUUGGUUUGUAGUGUUGUAUAGAUGCCUGUUGGGUCUGAUUGGUUUGUAGUGUUGUAUGGAUGCCUGUUGGGUCUGAUUGGUUUGUAGUGUUGUAUAGAUGCCUGUUAGGUCUGAUUGGUUUGUAGUGUUGUAUAGGUGCCUGUUAGGUCUGAUUGGUUUGUAGUGUUGUAUAGAUGCCUGUUAGGUCUGAUUGGGUCUGAGUGGUUUGUAGUGUUGUAUGGAUGCCUGUUAGGUGUGAUUGGUUUGUAGUGUUGUAUGGAUGCCUGUUGGGUGUGAUUGGUUUGUAGUGUUGUAUGGAUGCCUGUUGGGUCUGAGUGGUUUGUAGUGUUGUAUGGAUGCCCGUUGGGUCUGAUUGGUUUGUAGUGUUGUAUGGAUGCCCGUUGGGUCUGAUUGGUUUGUAGUGUUGUAUAGAUGCCUGUUGGGUCUGAUUGGUUUGUAGUGUUGUAUAGAUGCCUGUUGGGUGUGAUUGGUUUGUAGUGUUGUAUGGAUGCCUGUUGGGUCUGAUUGGUUUGUAGUGUUGUAUGGAUGCCUGUUGGGUCUGAUUGAUUUUUAGAGUUGCAUAGAUGCCUGUUGGGUGUGAUUGGUUUGUAGUGUUGUAUGGAUGCCUGUUGGGUCUGAUUGGUUUGUAGUGUUGUAUGGAUGCCUGUUAGGUCUGAUUGGGUCUGAGUGGUUUGUAGUGUUGUAUGGAUGCCCGUUGGGUCUGAUUGGUUUGUAGUGUUGUAUAGAUGCCUGUUGGGUCUGAUUGGUUUGUAGUGUUGCAUAGAUGCCUGUUAGGUCUGAUUGGGUCUGAGUGGUUUGUAGUGUUGUAUGGAUGACUGUUGGGUAUGAUUGGUUUGUAGUGUUGUAUAGAUGCCUGUUGGGUCUGAUUGUAGAGUUUUAUGGAAGCCUGUUGGGUCUGAUUGGUUUGUAGUGUUGUAUAGAUGCCUGUUGGGUCUGAUUGGUUUGUAGAGUUGUGUAGAUGCCUGUUGGGCGUGAUUGGUUUGUAGAGUUGUAUAGAUGCCUGUUGGGUCUGAUUGGUUUGUAGAGUUGUAUGGAAGCCUGUUGGGUCUGAUUGGUUUGUAGUGUUGUAUGGAUGCCCGUUGGGUCUCGUUGGUUUGUAGUGUUGUAUGAAAGCCUGUUGGGUCUGAUUGGUUUGUAGUGUUGUAUAGAUGCCUUUUGGGUCUGAUUGGUUUGUAGAGUUGUUUGGAUGCCUGUUGAGUGUGAUUGGUUUGUAGUGUUAUAUAGAUGCCUGUUGGGUCUGAUUGGUUUGUAGAGUUGUGUGGAGGCCUGUUGGGUGUGAUUGGUUUGUGGUAUUGUAUAGGUGCCUGUUGGGUCUGAUUGGUUUGUAGAGUUGUAUGGAAGCCUGUUGGGUCUGAUUGGUUUGUAGUGUUGUAUAGAUGCCUGUUGGGUCUGAUUGGGUCUGAUUGGUCUGUAGUGUUGUAUGUAAGCCUGUUGGGUCUGAUUGGUUUGUAGUGUUGUAUAGGUGCCUGUUAGGUCUAAUUGGGUCUGAUUGGUUUGUAGUGUUGUAUGGAAGCCUGUUGCAUCUGAUUGGUUUGUAGAGUUGUAGAGAAGCCUGUUAGGUCUGAUUGGUUUGGUUUGUAGUCUGAUUAUUUACAUCUUCUCUUCCCUUAUUCAUCUUCUGCCUAGUUAUAUUGAUAUUGAAUGUGGGGUAUUGAAUCCUUCAGUUUUGUCAGCUUUUGUUUCAUAAAUUUGAAACUCUGUUAAGUGCAUCUGUGUUUCUAUUUUUUUCUGAUGAACAGACCCUUUUAUGAUUAUGACAUGUCCUUCUUUGUCUCUAGUGAAAAAAAAAA
Molecule: long non-coding RNA, 1940 nt
Organism: Macaca mulatta (Rhesus monkey)
Lineage: Eukaryota; Metazoa; Chordata; Mammalia; Primates; Cercopithecidae
Source: Ensembl